RNAcentral lists this ribosomal RNA (1472 nucleotides) under uncultured Bordetella sp. Its description in RNAcentral is "partial 16S-23S ribosomal RNA intergenic spacer". It matches the Rfam family "Bacterial small subunit ribosomal RNA". The record is from RNAcentral. Lineage: Bacteria; Pseudomonadati; Pseudomonadota; Betaproteobacteria; Burkholderiales; Alcaligenaceae.
GGUUCGAUCAUGGCUCGAUUGAACGCUGGCGGGAUGUUUAUGGCUACGCAAGUCGAACGGCAGUACGGAUCCCGGUCUGGUGGCGAGUGGCGAACGGGUGAGUAAUGUAUCGGAACGUGCCUAGUAGCGGGGGAUAACUACGCUGCUGUAGCUAAUACCGCAUACGCCCUUCGGGGAAAGCGGGGGGACCUUCAGCCCCCGCACUAUUAGAGCGGCCGCCGAUAUCGGAUUAGCUAGUUGGUGGGGUAACGGCUCACCAGGGCGACGAUCCGUAGCUGGUUUGAGAGGACGAUCAGCCACACUGGGACUGAGACACGGCCCAGACUUGCAUGUGAGGCAAAAGCAGUGGGGAAUUUUGGACAAUGGGGGAAACCCUGAUCCAGCCAUCCUGCGUGCGAUGAAGGCCUUCGGGUUGUAAAGCACUUUUGGCAGGAAAGAAACGGCACGGGAUAAUAAUUCCGUGCAACUGACGGUACCUGCAGAAUAAGCACUGGCUAACUACGUGCCAGCAGCCGCGGUAAUACGGUAGGCGUAAGCGUUAAUCGGAAUUACUGGGCGUAAAGCGCAGGCAGGCGGUUCGAAAGAAAGAUGAAAUCCCAGAGCUUAACUUUGGAACUGCAUUUUUAACUACUGAGCUAGAGGUCAGAGGGGGGUGGAAUUCCGCGUAGCAGUGAAAUGCGUAUAUGGAUGAACACCGAUGGCGAAGGCAGCCUCCUGGGAUAACACUGACGCUCAUGCACGAAAGCGUGGGGAGCAAACAGGAUUAGAUACCCUGGUAGUCCACGCCACCAAACGAUGUCAACUAGCUGUUGGGGCCUUCGGGCCUUGGUAGCGCAGCUAACGCGUGAAGUUGACCGCCUGGGGAGUACGGUCGCAAGAUUAAAACUCAAAGGAAUUGACGGGGGACCCGCACAAGCGGUGGAUGAUGUGGAUUAAUUCGAUGCAAACGCGAAAACCUUACCUACCUUGACAUGUCUGGAAUCCCGAAGAGAUUUGGGAGUGCUCGCAAGAGAACCGGAACACAGGUGCUGCAUGGCUGUCGUCAGCUCGUGUCGUGAGAUGCUGGGUUAAGUCCCGCAACGAGCGCAACCCUUGUCAUUAGUUGGCAUGAAAGGGCACUCUAAUGAGACUGCCGGUGACAAACCGGAGGAAGGUGGGGAUGACGUCAAGUCCUCAUGGCCCUUAUGGGGCCACACGUCAUACAAUGGUCGGGACAGAGGGUCGCCAACCUGGCGAGGGGAGCCAAUCCCAGGAAACCCGCGAUCGUAGUCCGGAUCGCAGUCUGCAACUCGACUGCGUGAAGUCGGAAUCGCUAGUAAUCGCAGAUCAGCAUGUCGGUGAAUACGUUCCCGGGUCUUGUACACACCGCCCGUCACACCAUGGGAGUGGGUUUUACCAGAAGUAGUUAGCCUAACCGUAAGGAGGGCGAUUACCAUUGUGAUCUAUGACUGGGUGAAGUCGUAACAAGGUAG